Molecule: ribosomal RNA, 433 nt
Filed under: uncultured bacterium
Lineage: Bacteria
Description: partial 16S ribosomal RNA
Rfam family: Bacterial small subunit ribosomal RNA
Source: RNAcentral
AACGAACGCUGGCGGCAGGCCUAACACAUGCAAGUCGAGCGAGGACUUCGGUCCUAGCGGCGGACGGGUGAGUAACGCGUGGGAACGUGCCCUUUGCUUCGGAAUAGCCCUUGGAAACUGGGAGUAAUACCGGAUGAGCCCUUUGGGGGAAAGAUUUAUCGGCGAAGGAUCGGCCCGCGUUGGAUUAGGUAGUUGGUGGGGUAAUGGCCUACCAAGCCGACGAUCCAUAGCUGGUUUGAGAGGAUGAUCAGCCACACUGGGACUGAGACACGGCCCAGACUCCUACGGGAGGCAGCAGUGGGGAAUCUUAGACAAUGGGGGAAACCCUGAUCUAGCCAUGCCGCGUGAGCGAUGAAGGCCUUAGGGUUGUAAAGCUCUUUCAGCUGGGAAGAUAAUGACGGUACCAGCAGAAGAAGCCCCGGCUAACUCCGUG